This 65-nucleotide transfer RNA is filed under the name Phloeotribus sp. BMNH 1047247. RNAcentral describes it as "tRNA-Ser". Lineage: Eukaryota; Metazoa; Arthropoda; Insecta; Coleoptera; Curculionidae. The record is from RNAcentral.
AGUUAAUGAACUUGUUAAAGUUUAUAUUUUGAAAAUAUACCAAAGAAUUUAUUUUCUAUUAACUU